This 67-nucleotide transfer RNA is filed under the name Anaerolineales bacterium. RNAcentral's name for it is "tRNA-OTHER". The record is from RNAcentral. Lineage: Bacteria; Bacillati; Chloroflexota; Anaerolineae; Anaerolineales.
GUAACUGUCAAUGGCAGAGCGUCCGUGCCCCGGAAGGUUGCGGGUUCAAUCCCCGCCGGUUACCCCA